RNAcentral lists this ribosomal RNA (254 nucleotides) under uncultured bacterium. Its description in RNAcentral is "partial 16S ribosomal RNA". It matches the Rfam family "Bacterial small subunit ribosomal RNA", at positions 524 to 776 of the family's 1533-position model. The record is from RNAcentral.
UACGUAGGGUGCAAGCGUUUGUCCGGAUUUAUUGGGUUUAAAGGGUGCGUAGGCGGCCCUGUAAGUCAGUGGUGAAAUACUCCAGCUUAACUGGAGGGGUGCCAUUGAUACUGCAGGGCUUGAGUUAAGUUGAAGUUGGCGGAAUUGACGGUGUAGCGGUGAAAUGCUUAGAUAUCGUCAAGAACACCGAUAGUGAAGACAGCUAACUAAACUUUUACUGACGCUGAGGCACGAAAGUGUGGGGAUCAAACAGG